Molecule: ribosomal RNA, 448 nt
Filed under: uncultured bacterium
Lineage: Bacteria
Description: partial 16S ribosomal RNA
Rfam family: Bacterial small subunit ribosomal RNA
Source: RNAcentral
UUCCAGACUCCUACGGGAGGCAGCAGUGGGGGAUAUUGCACAAUGGGGGAAACCCUGAUGCAGCGACGCCGCGUGUGGGAAGACGGUCCUCUGGAUUGUAAACCACUGUCCCCAGGGACGAAGAUGACGGUACCUGGGGAGGAAGCUCCGGCUAACUACGUGCCAGCAGCCGCGGUAAUACGUAGGGAGCGAGCGUUGUCCGGAUUCAUUGGGUUUAAAGGGUGCGUAGGUUGUUUUAUAAGUUAGCGGUGAAAUACCGAUGCUCAACAUCGGGGCUGCCGCUAAUACUGUAGGACUAGAGAUCGGAUGCAGCAGGCGGAAUGUGUAGUGUAGCGGUGAAAUGCAUAGAUAUUACACAGAACACCGAUUGCGAAGGCAGCUUGCUAGGCCGGAUCUGACACUGAUGCACGAAAGCGUGGGGAUCGAACAGGAUUAGAUACCCGCGUAG